AGUGAACGCUGGCGGUAGGCCUAACACAUGCAAGUCGAACGGCAGCCCAGUAAGAGCUUGCUCUUACGGGUGGCGAGUGGCGGACGGGUGAGGAAUACAUCGGAAUCUACUUUUUCGUGGGGGAUAACGUAGGGAAACUUACGCUAAUACCGCAUACGACCUACGGGUGAAAGCAGGGGAUCUUCGGACCUUGCGCGAUUGAAUGAGCCGAUGUCGGAUUAGCUAGUUGGCGGGGUAAAGGCCCACCAAGGCGACGAUCCGUAGCUGGUCUGAGAGGAUGAUCAGCCACACUGGAACUGAGACACGGUCCAGACUCCUACGGGAGGCAGCAGUGGGGAAUAGUGGACAAUGGGCGCAAGCCUGAUCCAGCCAUACCGCGUGGGUGAAGAAGGCCUUCGGGUUGUAAAGCCCUUUUGUUGGGAAAGAAAAGCAGCAGGUUAAUACCCCGCUGUUCUGACGGUACCCAAAGAAUAAGCACCGGCUAACUUCG
RNAcentral lists this ribosomal RNA (490 nucleotides) under uncultured bacterium. RNAcentral describes it as "partial 16S ribosomal RNA". It matches the Rfam family "Bacterial small subunit ribosomal RNA", at positions 29 to 505 of the family's 1533-position model. The record is from RNAcentral.